Molecule: long non-coding RNA, 500 nt
Organism: Ipomoea nil (Japanese morning glory)
Lineage: Eukaryota; Viridiplantae; Streptophyta; Magnoliopsida; Solanales; Convolvulaceae
Exons: 2
Source: RefSeq, a predicted model, not a curated record
CAUCAACUUAAUUAAUUGCUUCAUCUUCUAAAUCAUAUUUUAAUAUAUAAUAAUAAUUUGAAUUUUUUGAUACUCUUUCUGUAGGCAGCUGCGGCUUUCCUUGGAGGUUCCAUUCCUGAGGAGGCUGCUGCAGAUUAUAAGAGUUUCAAAAAACCAAACAAAUAUGGCAUUGAUUUCUAAGAAGAUGGGGUUGUUUUUUAUUGCAACAUUGGCUGUUGUUAUAGCCGCCGUUACCGGUGUCGCUCAUGCUAAUGAUUUGCCUCCUGCCCACGCUCCCGCCACCAACGGGGCAACAAUUGAUCAAGGGGUUGCAUGCGCGCUGAUGCUGUUGGCAUUGGUACUCACAUAUAUCAUCCAUACAGCCGAUGUCCCUCUCUAUUAAUUCUUUUUUUCCUUUUCUUUUUGAUACAUAAUUUAUUAAUAAUGUUUCUUUAUCCCUAGCUAGGGCUAGAAAGUACCAUGAAAUGAGAUGGAUACCUUUUUGUUGGCUGUGCCUUUUA